This 74-nucleotide transfer RNA is filed under the name Candidatus Staskawiczbacteria bacterium RIFCSPLOWO2_01_FULL_37_25b. RNAcentral's name for it is "tRNA-Ala". It matches the Rfam family "tRNA". From Rfam's summary of the family: Transfer RNA (tRNA) molecules are approximately 80 nucleotides in length. Lineage: Bacteria; Candidatus Staskawicziibacteriota. The record is from RNAcentral.
GGGCCCAUAGUAAAUUGGCAUUACGCUUCCAUGGCAUGGAAGAGGGCCGGGUUCGAUUCCCGGUGGGUCCACAA